UGGGUUGAGGCUUUUGGGCAGGA
This 23-nucleotide microRNA is filed under the name Strongylocentrotus purpuratus (purple sea urchin). RNAcentral's name for it is "spu-miR-4848a". Lineage: Eukaryota; Metazoa; Echinodermata; Echinoidea; Camarodonta; Strongylocentrotidae. The record is from miRBase by way of RNAcentral.